AGACCGAUAGCGAACAAGUAGAGUGAUCGAAAGAUGAAACGCACUUGAAAAGAGAGUUAAAAAGUACGUGAAAUUGUUGAAAGGGAAGCGCUCAGACCAGACUUGGGCUUGGUUGAUCAUCCAGGGUUCUCCCUGGUGCACUCUUCCAGUUCAGGCCAGCAUCAGUUCGCUGUGGGGGAUAAAGGCUUUGGGAAUGUGGCUCCCUCGGGAGUGUUAUAGCCCAUUGUGUAAUACCCUGUGGUGGACUGAGGUUCGGGCAUUCGCAAGGGUGCUGGCGUAAUGGUCAUCAGCGACCCGUCUUGAAACACGGACCAAG
This 316-nucleotide ribosomal RNA is filed under the name Ilyonectria sp. RNAcentral's name for it is "partial large subunit ribosomal RNA". It matches the Rfam family "Eukaryotic large subunit ribosomal RNA", at positions 331 to 670 of the family's 3401-position model. Lineage: Eukaryota; Fungi; Ascomycota; Sordariomycetes; Hypocreales; Nectriaceae. The record is from RNAcentral.